Molecule: ribosomal RNA, 2960 nt
Filed under: mixed culture metagenome
Description: eukaryotic LSU rRNA
Rfam family: Eukaryotic large subunit ribosomal RNA (bases 405-2960)
Source: RNAcentral
ACUCUUGUCAGUGGAUAUCUUGGCUCGCUGAACGAUGAAGAACGCAGCGAAAUGCGAUACUUAAUGUGAAUUGCAGAAUUCAGUGAAUCAUCGAACCUUUGAACGCACCUUGCGCUUCCCGCCUCCGGCUGGAAGCACACUUCCUCCAGUGGCACCACCAACCCCCUCGGGUGCGCCCCGCGCGCAUCCGGAUCGUGGCCGCUGCCGCCAUUUCGAUGGCGGCGCCGGCUGAAGGAUCGAGCGCCGCUUGCGGGCCGCGUGCGGACCGCGCUCGAAUGAGCGCGGUUCGGCCAAUGUGCUACCGGUUUGACGACCCUUGUCAUUGGUGUGAGCGCGGUCCCGACUGGCGCGAGUUGGGCGAGCGGAUUCGUUCGCCGUCCGGUUCGUCCCUUAUAAUUACUUCUUGCCAUGGAGUGACGUGAGGCUACCCGCUGAACUUAAGCAUAUCACUAAGCGGAGGAGAAGAAAACAACCGUGAUGCCCCUAGUAAUGGCGAAUGAAGCGGGCAUAGCUCACGCCGCCAAUCUGGAGGCCCUCGCGGCCCCCCGAAUUGUAGUCUAGAAAGGCGCCAUCGGCCGCGUCCGUCGCCAAAAUCCCUUGGAACAGGGUAUCGGAGAAGGUGAGAAUCCUGUGACGUGGCGGAUCGCGGCCGCACGAUGCGUUCUUACAGAGUCGGGUUGCUUGGGAUUGCAGCUUGAAAUGGGAGGUAAAUUCCUUCUAAAGCUAAAUAUUGCAGCGAGACCGAUAGCGAACAAGUACCGUGAGGGAAAGAUGCAAAGAACUUUGAAAAGAGAGUUAAAGAGUGCUUGAAACCGACAAGGGGAAACCCGGUUGCGCCCGGUGUCGUGUAGUCGACUCAGCCCUAACGGGUGCACUUUGACUGCACGGGUCAGCCGCCUCUCCGCGCGAGGGAGAAGCACCUUAGUUUAGUUACCGGGGACUUACCUCGCGUGGGGCGCCGUCUGACGUAACGGGCGCCACCGACCCGUCUAGAAACACGGACCAAGGAGUCUGACAUGGACGCGAGUACUUGGGUGUCAAACCUAUGUGCGCAAUGAAAGUGAAGGGCGUGCCCCGCCAACCGACCUUGAUCUGCUGUGAAGGGUUUGAGUGGAGCGUUCCUGUCGGGACCCGAAAGAUGGUGAACUAUGCCUGGAUAGGUUGAAGUCUGCUGAAAGGCAGAUGGAGGGCCGUAGCGAUACUGACGUGCAAAUCGUUCGUCAAAUCUGGGUAUAGGGGCGAAAGACUAAUCGAACCAUCUAGUAGCUGGUUCCCUCCGAAGUUUCCCUCAGGAUAGCUUGAACGCCGACGGUUUUGUCAGGUAAAGCGAAUGAUUAGAGGCCUUGGGGCUGCAACAGCCUUAACCUAUUCUCAAACUUUAAAUGGGCAAGAAGCUUGGGAUGCUUGAUUGAUCCCUUGCGGUGAACGGCGCGUUCAAAGUGGGCCAUUUUUGGUAAGCAGAACUGGCGAUGCGGGAUGAACCGAACGUCGCGCUAAGGUACCCAAGUGUCCGCUCAUCAGAUACCACAAAAGGCGUUGAUACCUUUAGACAGCAGGACGGUGGCCAUGGAAGUCGGAACCCGCUAAGGAAUGUGUAACAACUCACCUGCCGAAGGUAUUAGCCCUGAAAAUGGAUGGCGCUCAAGCGGACCACCGAUGCGCGACCGCCGGCGCGAGUGCGAGGCGCCGGCGAGUAGGAGGGCGCGGGGCUCGUGACGCAGCCUUGGGCGUGAGCCUGGGUGAAACGGGCUCUGGUGCAGAUCUUGGUGGUAGUAGCAAAUAUUCAGAUGAGAACUCUGAAGACUGAAGUGGAGAAAGGUUCCAUGUGAACAGCAGUUGGACAUGGGUGAGCCGACCCUAAGAGUCAGGAAAGCUCCGUUGAACGCGGCCCUUCUGUGGCCCGUCCUCGAAAGGGAAUCGGGUUAAUAUUCCCGAGCCAGCGCGUGGAUGGUGGGCGGUGACGCGAACGAACUCGGAGACGUCGGCGGGAGCCCUGGGAAGAGUUCUCUUUUCUUCUUAACUGCCUCUUGCCCUGAAAACGGUUCGGCCGGAGCUAGGGCUUUAUGGCAGGCAAAGCACCUUAAGUCUUGAGGUGUCCGGCGCGCUCCCGACGGCCCGUGAAAAUCCGGGGGAGCGGUUCGUUCUCACGCCUGGUCGUACUCAUAACCGCAUCAGGUCUCCAAGGUGAACAGCCUCUAGUCGAUAGAGCAAUGUAGAUAAGGGAAGUCGGCAAAAUGGUUCCGCAACCUCGGGAGAAGGAAUGGCUCUGAAGGCUGGGCUUAAGGGUCUUAGGUCCGAGGCCCAAGGCUGCGCGAGGACUACUGCUCACGCGGCGGACCACGCGCGGCCGACCGGCGGAUGGCCUAGGAGUGCUUCGGCUUUCCUUAGGCGAUGAACAGCUGCUUCAGAACUGGCGCGGACAAGGGGAAUCCGACUGUUUAAUUAAAACAAAGCAUUGCGAUGGCCGGGGACGGUGCUGACGCAAUGUGAUUUCUGCCCAGUGCUCUGAAUGUCAAAGUGAAGAAAUUCAACCAAGCGCGGGUAAACGGCGGGAGUAACUAUGACUCUCUUAAGGUAGCCAAAUGCCUCGUCAUCCAAUUAGUGACGCGCAUGAAUGGAUUCGUGAGAUUCCCACUGUCCCUAUCUACUGUCUAGCGAAACCACAGCCAAGGGAACGGGCUUGGAAAAAUCAGCGGGGAAAGAAGACCCUGUUGAGCUUGACUCUAGUCUGUUGCGCGGGACGACUUGAGAGGUGUAGAAUAAGUGGGAGGGUGACCGCCAAUGAAAUACCACUACUUUCAACGUCGUCCCACUUACCCGGUCGUGCGGAAUGGUGCUUGCACCUCUUCUGGCUCUAAGCUUGCGAUCCGCGUCGGGGACACACACAGGUGGGGAGUUUGGCUGGGGCGGCACGUCUGUUAAAAAAUAACGCAGGCGCCCGAUUUUGAGCUCAAUGAGAA